CUUCAUUCUUAGUUUUUAUUUGCUAUUUUCUUUUUACAUGUUUGUGGAAAGUUGCAUCAAUAAAUUUUGUGUCUGAUAUCCCCAUAUUCAAAAGUUGAGAAAAAAAGAGAGAAAGGUCAAAAAAAAAAAAUUAAGAAAAACAGAAAAAUAAUAAAUUUGUGAAAAGAAUUACGAAUGGGGAGCCCAGGAAUAAGCACCCGAAAUAAUGGGGGUAAGCAACAGCGGUUAGGCAUUACAGAGCCCAUUUCCUUGGGUGGACCAACAGAGUACGACGAGAUAAAGACCCGAGAACUUGAAAAGUUUUUGCAAGAUGUGGGACUGCAUGAGAGUCAGGAGGAAGCUGUGCUUAGAGAGGAAGUGCUUGGGAGGCUAGACCAGAUUGUGAAGAAUUGGGUCAAAGCUAUUAGCCGCUCAAAAGGGUUGAAUGAGCAACUUGUACAAGAAGCAAAUGCUAAGAUUUUCAC
This 464-nucleotide unclassified non-coding RNA is filed under the name Hevea brasiliensis (rubber tree). Lineage: Eukaryota; Viridiplantae; Streptophyta; Magnoliopsida; Malpighiales; Euphorbiaceae. The record is from RNAcentral.